CAAUCGGUUGUUUGCUGAUUUAUAUUUUCCGUUUCUCUUUCCUUGAUCGUCUCCUUCCGUUUUGCUGCAUUCCUGCUUCUUUCUUUCCCAUGUAAUAUCUUUUGUUGUUCUUUUCUUUAAUCUGCUGUCGAUUUUUUUGUUCGUUUUGUGUUUAUUAUGUGAUGGAUGUUCGUCGGAAAAGGGGGGCUGACCCCGGUGCUUUGUCUUCUUCUGUUAUCUCUGUUGGUCACCGGCGAAAAUGUACAUUCUCCCAUUAGAGACGCAUACCAUCGACUUUCAAGCGUCUCUUGCUGCUGGUUUUCUGUACCUCUUUCUUAUGUUUAUGCGAUUGAUGCUCUGAGUUCUUCUUCCCUAUCUUCUAUUUCACGUUUUUUGAUUGCUUUGUUUGAUAGGUUCCGAUUUUUAUUGUUCUUGACGAAUCAAGAUUGAGGCGAUGAUGAAUUUUUUUGUGAAAGUGAUUCACAUUCAAGGUCGUAUUUUGGCAUGGCAACUCGGAAGGCAUAUCCGAUUGGAACAUGCAACCGGUGUUUGCAACCAUACCGGUGUUUACCCCAAUUUUUUUUGAGCCUCCAAUUUCGUGUGAUAAGUUCUGAUUAUCUGAUACAUUAUUCGAAUAUUUGUAAAAUAUCGACUAGAAUGGAGUGGAAUAUGAACACCGUUCUACCUCUCCUUUUCUCGACUCCGAUCAGAAGCAACAACAAUUCUCAGAGGGUACCCCUUCAGUCCAUCACCCUAAUCUCUUUCGUUUGGUUCCGAUUUUUAUUUCUAUUGGUAUUGAGGUGAUGAUGUUUUUGAUUUGGUCGUUGAAUAUAAGGUAAAAUCUCCUACUUUCUUGAAUUUCUCUCAGGACAACAUCACCUGUAGGUUGCUGAAUAUAAAGACCUUCUAUUGCUAUAAUCGAUCGUAAUACUCUAUGGAAGCACCUACUCGUUGUUGAUCUAGAGCGACGAUACAUCCACGAGGUAAACCGAGUUCGCAAAUCAUUACUUACAAUAUGCAAAAAUCUAGCAACAUGUUCCUCAACGGACAUGCGUUGCGUACGUCGUAGACCACCUACAGUUUGUAAGAUUUCACACAAUCUCCUAAAAGCGUUUUCACUCAUACGAAUAAGGUCACGACAUUGACCACCUUCUAAAAGAUUGUGUAGCAACUCUUCCCGUAUAGCUUGUCUUUCUAAAAUAACUUUUCUAGUGGGUAACCUAACCCGCUUUUUGUUGGCCAUAUUACGUUGUGUAAUAAAAGUCAACAACAAGCAAAUCAAGUUAACGACUUGCAAUUGUCGGACUCUUAAAGCAUGGGCAGGGUUGAGUAUCGGAGUAUCCAUAAGGACUAUAUAUGAACUAAUCCCUUUUUCUGAUACAUGAUAAAAUAGUUUGAGUUAAAUUUAAACAACAUUGAUAAACAACAAUAUUUAAUUUUUUUAUAAGGACUAUAUAUGAACUAUAUACAUUUGUUAAUUAUAAUGUAUGAUUCUAUUUAGUUAUUAAAUAAAUAAAUUUGAUUCUAUUUAGUACUGUGAUGGAACUUUUAUUGUAUAAAUAAACAACUACCCACAUCACCUUAAACUAAGUAUUUAGGUUAAGAACAUCUUCAUAGAUUAAGAUCGGUUGUCUUUUUAUACUUUUAAUAAAUAAAUAAAUAAAACAUUUGUAAGCAUAGGUAACAUACAUUUGUCUCACUUAAAUAUAAAAUUUCAUAAAACAAAAUCUAUAAUUUAAUGGGUUUUAACUAAUUUUUUAGUCUAAUUAUACAUCUACAACAAACAAUAAGUACUUAAGCAUGUACAAAAAAAAUUAAUUUUUAAUAUUGAAUUUAAAACUUAUUUGUUAACUGAACUUUUUGAAAAACCAACUUAUAGUUUCUUAAUUGCUUAAAAAAAGGUAUAUAUGGGAAAACCACAAAAGAUCACAGGAAUGAAAUGAAAAUAUAUAAAAAGUUUGUUAUCAUUAGUUCUAUAUAUUUCUGCCCAUUUGAUGAUAUAUACUUACUGUGAGCAGAAAGGAAAAACAAAUUUGCUGUAUAGUCAUUUGCUGAUAUCUAUUUCCAAUUUUACCAUUUUUACUAGAAAUAUGAAAACAGGUUGUUGUUUAUAAGAAGAAAUUACAUACAAAGAAAUUAUGUACAGAAGAAUAACUAAAAACAAAACACAAGGAAGACGAUCAAGAACAUAAUAUCUCCCAAAAAACUAGUUUGAAGCUGUAUAUAAGAAGAAAUUGUGUUGUAUAUAAGAAGCUGUACAAAAAAAAAGAAAAAAAAAACAGUAUAUAAGAAGAAAUUGUGCGUACCAGUUGGAGAAGGCAGAAGGCUAGAUGAUGAAGAAGGUAGAAUAGAAGACAGGGGCGUAUCCUUUUAUCAUCAAGGCUAAGGGUAUUUUCGUCAUAAGGUAACUUUUUAUCUUCCAUGCGUUUCUUUCUCUCCAAUUCCUCCCGAUUUGGGAGGAAAGUUUGGAGCGAUACAAUUCCUCUACAAUCCGUUCUGUUCUUCUCUUCUCUUCUUAAAAAAAAAACUAGGGAGCAACCAAAAUUCUCUGUUUUCCUUCCAAUUCCUCUCAAUUCCGUUCUGUUCUUUCGUUAAUUGAUACUUAGGAGCGGGGCGUAAGCAUCGGAUGAAAUUGAAGGUCGUGUCUUGGGAAGGCAACUCAGAAUGCAUCUAUGCAACCGAUCCCUUUUCCUUCGAAAUUUCCCGUUCCAUCUACUGCUACAGGUUCUCCUUCUCUAAUCGAUCUCUCAUUGUCUCUAGAAAUCGAUUUUCCAAAGGUCGACCUAGAAUCGGUCGCACCCUUAGCCUUAGAUUUAGGCAGGAGAGCUAAUAAGAAAGUGGUCAGUAGUAAGAAGCAAAAGGUAGUGACAGGGCACCCACCUUCUCGCUUUGACCAUCAGAUAUCGAAAAUGGAAGGCAGUGAAAAACAAUCGAGUAACGUAUUCGUUAUUUCCCUCCAUCUUCGUCUUCUACUCAACAACUCAAAAUGGUCAUACCCUAGAGGCUUCACAGAAAUCAAACAGAAAACCAGAAGAAAAAAAAAACCGCAUCAUGGUUAAGAGAAUGCGUGUUGCAACUUGGUCCAACUUUUAUAAAGAUUGGACAAUUAUCAUCAACAAGAUCCGAUCUAUUCCCACAUGAAAUCAUACACGAGCUUGCUAAGUUACAGGACAGAGUUCCUGCCUUUUCUUCAACAAAAGCAAAGUGUUUGAUUGAGAGAGAAUUAGGAGCUCCAGUUGAUCACAUCCACAAAUUACAGGUGAAAGAAUGGGUUACUGUGAAGCACCGAAUUUCCUACAAAUUUGUGAAAUUGAGCUUCACAAUGAGUCGAGGUUCAGCAACUCAUCUACGCAUCCAUGUAAAGGUAAUGAAGAUAAUGAAGAGGAUGUGGAAAUUGGUGGACAUAGAUGUGAGGACCAGCAAAAUCAAUAGUUCAAAUUGCUCCAGUAGUGAUUCGGGAUCAGCAUCUACUGCACAGUCAAUCAGAUGUACAAUCAAACAAUAUAGUUUCUUUCCCAGUCAGAAAACUUUCCCAGACAACACUUUACCAGAAAGCACUUUCCCAGACAGAAACUAUCAAACGGAACCUAAGUUGGUAUGGGCUUGGAGAUCUUGAUGUGUUUGUCUUAGAAACAUAUAAGGCCGAAUGAUGGCGGACAACAAAGUCCGAUGAUACAUGGGACUAUGGGAGCCUAGAAGAGUAAAUAUUCAAGCGAAAUAAUAUUUAAGUCUUGUUUUCUUCAUUUGCCUCUUAGAACUAGGGUUUAUACAUUGUAAACCUUCUUAUGGGUUGUCUAAUCAGUAGGUUACAUUUGUCUUUAUAUUCUUUCUUAUGAAGAGGUGUUUUUGUUGCUUAUAGAUUUUAUCUUUAGUUCGAAGAAUAUUUUGUAAACACUUUAUUCGUGCUUUAUCAUUCAAAUAGUUUCUCUAAUUUCUACAGUUAAACUAUAUUUUCAGGUGAUCAUAAUUUGAA
Molecule: non-coding RNA, 3952 nt
Organism: Lactuca sativa (garden lettuce)
Lineage: Eukaryota; Viridiplantae; Streptophyta; Magnoliopsida; Asterales; Asteraceae
Source: RefSeq, a predicted model, not a curated record